Molecule: ribosomal RNA, 540 nt
Filed under: Neotiara nodulosa
Lineage: Eukaryota; Metazoa; Mollusca; Gastropoda; Neogastropoda; Mitridae
Description: partial 12S ribosomal RNA
Source: RNAcentral
AACCAGGGGAUUAAGUUGUAUUUUACGGUGAAAAGACAGUUAAACAACGUAGCCUGUUAAAUUCAUUGCUCUAUCGGGAGGUAGAAUUCGUAGAUAGGCAAAUAUACUUAAUAAAACUAACGUGUUGAAGCUGUGAUAACUUUGAGGGAAACUAGGAUUAGAUACCCUACUAUUCAUAGAAGUAAAUUAAAAAUUUUACCAGAGUACUAAGAAUAAAAAAUUUAAAACUCAAAGGGCUUGGCGGUGUUUUAGACUACUUAGGGGAACCUGUCUCGUAAUCGACAAUCCGCGUUAUACCCAACCUUUUUUUGCAUACAGUUUGUAUACCGUCGUCGCCAGGUAACUUUUAAGAUAUAAACAGUUAGCUAGUUAAAUACUUAAAUUAAGACGUCAGAUCAAGGUGCAGCUAACAAUGAGGUGUAGAUGGGUUACAAUUACUAUACUUGUAAUAACGGACAAUAAUUUUAAAAAUAAUUGGAAAGGAGGACUUAAAAGUAAAAUAGAUUAUAUAAAUAUCUUGAAUAGAGCUCUGAAACGUGC